AGAGUUUGAUCCUGGCUCAGAUUGAACGCUGGCGGAAUGCUUUACACAUGCAAGUCGAACGGUAGAGGGGGCAACCCCUUGAGAGUGGCGAACGGGUGAGUAAUGUAUCGGAACGUGCCCAGUCGUGGGGGAUAACGUAGUGAAAAUUACGCUAAUACCGCAUACGAUCUAUGGAUGAAAGCGGGGGAUCGCAAGACCUCGCGCGAUUGGAGCGGCCGAUAUCAGAUUAGGUAGUUGGUGGGGUAAAGGCUCACCAAGCCAACGAUCUGUAGCUGGUCUGAGAGGACGACCAGCCACACUGGAACUGAGACACGGUCCAGACUCCUACGGGAGGCAGCAGUGGGGAAUUUUGGACAAUGGACGCAAGUCUGAUCCAGCCAUUCCGCGUGCAGGACGAAGGCCUUCGGGUUGUAAACUGCUUUUGUACGGAACGAAAAAGCUCUUAUUAAUACUAGGAGUCCAUGACGGUACCGUAAGAAUAAGCACCGGCUAACUACGUGCCAGCAGCCGCGGUAAUACGUAGGGUGCAAGCGUUAAUCGGAAUUACUGGGCGUAAAGCGUGCGCAGGCGGUUAUAUAAGACAGAUGUGAAAUCCCCGAGCUUAACUUGGGAACUGCAUUUGUGACUGUAUAGCUAGAGUACGGCAGAGGGGGAUGGAAUUCCGCGUGUAGCAGUGAAAUGCGUAGAUAUGCGGAGGAACACCGAUGGCGAAGGCAAUCUCUCUGGGCCUGUACUGACGCUCAUGCACGAAAGCGUGGGGAGCAAACAGGAUUAGAUACCCUGGUAGUCCACGCCCUAAACGAUGUCAACUGGUUGUUGGGUCUUCACUGACUCAGUAACGAAGCUAACGCGUGAAGUUGACCGCCUGGGGAGUACGGCCGCAAGGUUGAA
RNAcentral lists this ribosomal RNA (891 nucleotides) under uncultured bacterium. Its description in RNAcentral is "bacterial SSU rRNA". It matches the Rfam family "Bacterial small subunit ribosomal RNA", at positions 8 to 898 of the family's 1533-position model. The record is from RNAcentral.